This 485-nucleotide ribosomal RNA is filed under the name uncultured bacterium. RNAcentral's name for it is "partial 16S ribosomal RNA". It matches the Rfam family "Bacterial small subunit ribosomal RNA", at positions 28 to 523 of the family's 1533-position model. The record is from RNAcentral.
GACGAACGCUGGCGGCGUGCUUAACACAUGCAAGUCGAACGAUGAAAGCUGGAGCUUGCUCCGGCUGGAUUAGUGGCGAACGGGUGAGUAACAUGUGAGCAAUCUGCCCUUGACUCUGGGAUAACUCCGAGAAAUCGGUGCUAAUACCGGAUAUGACCCUUGGCGGCAUCGCUGGGGGUGGAAAGUUUUUCGGUCAAGGAUGAGCUCGCGGCCUAUCAGCUUGUUGGUGAGGUAAUGGCUCACCAAGGCGACGACGGGUAGCCGGCCUGAGAGGGUGACCGGCCACACUGGGACUGAGACACGGCCCAGACUCCUACGGGAGGCAGCAGUGGGGAAUAUUGCACAAUGGGCGCAAGCCUGAUGCAGCAACGCCGCGUGGGGGAUGACGGCCUUCGGGUUGUAAAUCUCUUUUAGCAGGGGAGAAGCGAAAGUGACGGUACCUGCAGAAAAAGCACCGGCUAACUACGUGCCAGCCGCCGCAGUAA